AGCGAACGCUGGCGGCAGGCCUAACACAUGCAAGUCGAACGAACCUUUCGGGGUUAUUCGCCUACGGCUGUGUCACACGUCGGAACAUUCCUUUAUGUUCGGACUAACUCAGAGAAACUUGUACUAAUACCGAAUGUGCCCUUCGACCGAAAGAUUUAUCGCCUUUAGUGCGGCCAGCGUCUGAUUAGCUAUUUGUUUGAGGUAAGGGCUCAUCAAGGCGGCGAUCGGUAGCUGGUCUGAGAGGAUGAUCAGCCACCUUGGGAGUGAGACACGGCCCAAAAUCCUACGGGAGGGGGCAGAGGGGAAUCUUGCGAAAUGGGCGAAAGCCUGACGCAGCCAUGACGCGUGAAUGAUGAAGGUCUGAGGAUUGUAAAAUUCUUUCACCGGGGACGAUACUGACGGUACCCGGAGAAGAAGCCCCGGCUAACUUCGUG
Molecule: ribosomal RNA, 434 nt
Filed under: uncultured bacterium
Lineage: Bacteria
Description: partial 16S ribosomal RNA
Rfam family: Bacterial small subunit ribosomal RNA
Source: RNAcentral